AUUGAACGCUGGCGGCAUGCUUUACACAUGCAAGUCGAACGGUAACAGGUUAAGCUGACGAGUGGCGAACGGGUGAGUAAUGCAUCGGAACGUGCCCGGUCGUGGGGGAUAACGCAGCGAAAGCUGCGCUAAUACCGCAUACGAUCUGAGGAUGAAAGCGGGGGACCGUAAGGCCUCGCGCGAUCGGAGCGGCCGAUGGCAGAUUAGGUAGUUGGUGGGAUAAAAGCUUACCAAGCCGACGAUCUGUAGCUGGUCUGAGAGGACGACCAGCCACACUGGGACUGAGAAACGGGCCAGACUGCGACGGGAGGCAGCAGUGGGGAAUUUUGGACAAUGGGCGAAAGCCUGAUCCAGCCAUGCCGCGUGCAGGAUGAAGGCCUUCGGGUUGUAAACUGCUUUUGUACGGAACGAAAAGACUCUUUCUAAUAAAGAGGGUCCAUGACGGUACCGUAAGAAUAAGCACCGGCUAACUACGUGCCAGCCGCCGCAGUAA
RNAcentral lists this ribosomal RNA (493 nucleotides) under uncultured bacterium. RNAcentral's name for it is "partial 16S ribosomal RNA". It matches the Rfam family "Bacterial small subunit ribosomal RNA", at positions 29 to 523 of the family's 1533-position model. The record is from RNAcentral.